This 500-nucleotide ribosomal RNA is filed under the name uncultured bacterium. Its description in RNAcentral is "partial 16S ribosomal RNA". It matches the Rfam family "Bacterial small subunit ribosomal RNA", at positions 30 to 523 of the family's 1533-position model. The record is from RNAcentral.
AUUGAACGCUGGCGGCAUGCCUUACACAUGCAAGUCGAACGGCAGCACGGGAGCAAUCCUGGUGGCGAGUGGCGAACGGGUGAGUAAAGUAUCGGAACGUGCCCAGUCGUGGGGGAUAACGUAGCGAAAGUUACGCUAAUACCGCAUACGAUCUAUGGAUGAAAGCGGGGGAUCGCAAGACCUCGCGCGAUUGGAGCGGCCGAUAUCAGAUUAGGUAGUUGGUGGGGUAAAGGCUCACCAAGCCGACGAUCUGUAGCUGGUCUGAGAGGACGACCAGCCACACUGGGACUGAGACACGGCCCAGACUCCUACGGGAGGCAGCAGUGGGGAAUUUUGGACAAUGGGCGAAAGCCUGAUCCAGCCAUGCCGCGUGCAGGAUGAGGGCCUUCGGGUUGUAAACUGCUUUUGUACGGAACGAAAAGGUUUGGGCUAAUAAGCUGAGCUCAUGACGGUACCGUAAGAAUAAGCACCGGCUAAUUACGUGCCAGCCGCCGCGGUAA